RNA transcript from Nomascus leucogenys (northern white-cheeked gibbon), 2671 nucleotides. It is a transcript of the gene named kinesin light chain 1, with no coding region annotated. The record is from RefSeq and is a predicted model, not a curated record. NCBI's taxonomy places the organism in Eukaryota, Metazoa, Chordata, Mammalia, Primates, Hylobatidae. The transcript is spliced from 18 exons.
GGGCGAGGCGGGGCGCCGGGGGAGCAACAGUGAGACGCCAUUUUCGGCGGCGGGAGCGGCGCAGGCGGCCGAGCGGAACUGGCUGGGUCGGCUGGGCGGCUGCUGCGAGGAGCCGCGGGGCUGUGCUCGGCGGCCAAGGGGACAGCGCGUGGGCGGCCGAGGAUGCUGCGGGGCGGCCGCGCCGGCGCCCCUCGCUGGUGACUGCUGCGCCGCGCCUCAAACAGCCGAGGUGGGCUCGGCGCGCAGUCGCUGCUCCGCGCGCGCGCCCGGCGGCGCUCCAGGUGCUGACAGCGCGAGAGAGCGCGGCCCUCAGGAGCAAGACGAAUGUAUGACAACAUGUCCACAAUGGUGUACAUAAAGGAAGACAAGUUGGAGAAACUUACACAGGAUGAAAUUAUUUCUAAGACAAAGCAAGUAAUUCAGGGGCUGGAAGCUUUGAAGAAUGAGCACAAUUCCAUUUUACAAAGUUUGCUGGAGACACUGAAAUGUUUGAAGAAAGAUGAUGAAAGUAACUUGGUGGAGGAGAAAUCAAACAUGAUCCGGAAGUCACUGGAGAUGUUGGAGCUCGGCCUGAGUGAGGCACAGGUUAUGAUGGCUUUGUCAAAUCAUCUGAAUGCUGUGGAGUCCGAGAAGCAGAAACUGCGUGCGCAGGUUCGUCGUCUAUGCCAAGAGAAUCAGUGGCUACGGGAUGAACUGGCCAACACACAGCAGAAACUGCAGAAGAGUGAGCAGUCUGUGGCUCAACUGGAGGAGGAGAAGAAGCAUCUGGAGUUUAUGAAUCAGCUAAAAAAAUAUGAUGACGACAUUUCCCCAUCCGAGGACAAAGACACUGAUUCUACCAAAGAGCCUCUGGAUGACCUUUUCCCCAAUGACGAAGACGAGCCAGGGCAAGGAAUCCAGCAGCAGCACAGCAGCGCAGCCGCGGCUGCCCAGCAGGGCGGCUACGAGAUCCCUGCGCGGCUGCGGACGCUCCACAACCUGGUGAUCCAGUACGCCUCGCAGGGGCGCUACGAGGUAGCUGUGCCCCUCUGCAAGCAGGCCCUGGAGGACCUGGAGAAGACUUCAGGACACGACCACCCGGACGUGGCCACCAUGCUCAACAUCCUGGCCUUGGUGUACAGGGAUCAGAAUAAAUACAAAGAUGCAGCUAACCUACUGAAUGAUGCCUUGGCUAUUCGUGAGAAAACUUUGGGCAAAGAUCAUCCUGCGGUGGCGGCGACUUUGAAUAACCUUGCAGUCCUUUAUGGUAAAAGAGGGAAGUACAAAGAAGCAGAGCCAUUGUGUAAAAGAGCUCUGGAAAUCCGAGAAAAGGUUUUGGGGAAGGAUCACCCCGAUGUUGCCAAGCAGUUAAAUAACUUGGCCUUACUGUGCCAGAACCAGGGCAAGUAUGAAGAAGUAGAAUAUUAUUAUCAAAGAGCCCUCGAGAUCUACCAGACAAAACUGGGACCUGAUGACCCCAACGUGGCUAAGACGAAAAAUAACCUGGCAUCCUGCUAUUUGAAACAAGGAAAGUUCAAGCAAGCAGAAACACUGUACAAAGAGAUUCUCACUCGUGCACAUGAAAGGGAGUUUGGUUCUGUAGAUGAUGAAAAUAAGCCCAUCUGGAUGCAUGCUGAAGAAAGAGAAGAAUGCAAAGGAAAGCAAAAGGAUGGGACAUCUUUUGGAGAGUAUGGCGGCUGGUACAAAGCCUGCAAAGUUGAUAGUCCAACUGUUACAACCACUCUAAAAAACCUUGGGGCACUUUACAGACGUCAAGGCAAAUUUGAAGCUGCAGAUACAUUAGAAGAAGCUGCUAUGCGGUCUCGUAAACAGGGUCUUGACAAUGUUCACAAACAGAGGGUGGCGGAAGUGCUCAAUGACCCUGAGAACAUGGAGAAGCGCAGGAGCCGUGAGAGCCUCAACGUGGACGUGGUCAAGUACGAGAGUGGCCCUGACGGAGGGGAGGAAGUGAGUAUGAGCGUAGAGUGGAACGGGGAUGGCACUGGAUCUUUAAAACGCAGUGGUUCCUUUAGCAAACUCCGGGCUUCCAUUAGACGCAGCAGUGAGAAGCUGGUUAGGAAGCUGAAGGGAGGAAGUUCACGAGAGAGUGAGCCAAAGAACCCCGGCAUGAAGCGUGCCAGCUCUCUGAAUGUCCUUAACGUGGGUGGCAAGGCUGCUGAAGAUCGCUUUCAAGAACGAAAUAAUUGUCUGGCCGACUCGCGAGCUCUGAGUGCCAGCCACACUGACCUGGCCCUCUGAGGGCCGGCAGGGCUAGGGCGUCUCUGGCCGAGCCUCUUUUUGUGGAAAACGACAGCAGCAGCAGUGGCCUGGAAGACGCCACCGCUAACUGACCCCGACCUGGCCCCGCUCCAGGAUGGGACUGCCGAGUGUGGCCCGGAGCUGGCCCGGGACAGCCAGGGCGGCAGGGAGGGCCCCUGGCCGGGAGCUGCGGCGCCCACUCAUUUCUCCUGCGUCUGUGUGUGGGGGGCAUGAUACUAAUGACCACAAGGCUGGCGUGACCUUGGGGCUGGAGCUGGGCCUAAGCUGGUGCCCUGGUGCGGCGUGGCCUCUCCCAGGAGACCUGGGGCAUGAGCUGGGCCCACGGCUCCCUUCCCAUGUGUAACCUCCUCACGUUGUGUGCGAUAAUGUAUUCUAUUGUACAUUUUUUUAAAUUAAAAGUUUAUAUGCCUUA